GGAAAACAAUAUGAGAGGCCUGGCUCUGGAUGCAGUAAUCUGGUGUUAAUUUCCAAAGUGUGACUCCCUAAUAAACAGCCUGCACACUAACCUCCGUCUCAGCAUCUGUUUUCCUGGGAACCCAACCUGGAACCACUGUAUGCAUAGGAUGAAUAUGAAAGGACCACAUCCCAAACUUGUCCCCUUGAGUUACAGAUGGCAUUAGAAGUGGAACCCAAAGUAGAGCCUCUUGCAACCCCCAGAAGCACCAAGAGACCAAGAAAAAUACCUACCAGGCCCAUUGUGUUCAUUGCUCUCUUGCAGAAACUGGUGA
RNAcentral lists this long non-coding RNA (313 nucleotides) under Homo sapiens (human). Its description in RNAcentral is "HSALNT0342191". Lineage: Eukaryota; Metazoa; Chordata; Mammalia; Primates; Hominidae. The record is from RNAcentral.